GGCUUCCUGGUGCUUACCACAGGCUGUGCUCUUUACACUGACUAUCCAGAAAGAGGUCAUAGUUUAACCCACCCCAAUAUACCUCAGCCCAAGCCCUUUGCGUGGUCUCCAUUGUGAAUGGAAGGUCAUAG
Molecule: small nucleolar RNA, 131 nt
Organism: Sorex araneus (European shrew)
Lineage: Eukaryota; Metazoa; Chordata; Mammalia; Eulipotyphla; Soricidae
Source: Ensembl